CAGCGUCCCAUUGUAGCCUUGACCCGCCCUCCAUUGGUGCCCUGAGCUGCAGGCUCCCCUGGAGAGGGCAGCCAACACAUAGGCACGGCCCUAAGGACAUCAGUGGCUGCUCAGGCCCCACCUGGGAGCAACAGGCCCUUCCAGAGAGGGACCAAGGGGGACCGUGACCUGCCCAGCCGAACCUUGAGGAUGUCGAGGCUCCGCUCCUUCUGUAGCAUCAUCCGCAGCGUGUGCGCCAGGUUGAAGAGGGCCCUCCCCAGCACCUUCCCACCCACUGAUGUGGAUACCGUGGUCAUGUCACUGGCAACAGGAGUGGAGGGGGGCAGCUGGGGAACAGCCCCCUGAGGCCAUUUCCGGACAUCCUGCCCGUAGCCGGGGGGCACCAGAACCUGCAGACAGAAGAUGCAGGUAGGGAGUGAGGGGAGAUGGGAACCAACCUUCAGGGAAUAGCUUAUGCCUUGGAAAGGGCACACACAGGAGGUGACGCAUACCUGCCCGUCGAUAUAGGCGACCUCCCCUCUCAGGACCACACGGCGCACGGUGCCCUUCACCUUCUGCCCUUCAAAGGGUGUCCAGCGGGCCUUGGAGAAGGGCAUGUGGCUGGGGACUGUCCACUCGUGCUCCAGAUCCACCUGCCCAGAGAAUCACUGUGACCGCAGGCAAAGGCGGCGCAAGGCCCAGAGCCCGGCCCACCCUGGGCUGGCCAGCCCCGCACCUCCACGUAGGUGUCUUCCUGCGGCGGCAGGUGGAAGAUGCGCCGGGGGUUGUGGUGCAGCCGCUGCAGCAGGUCAUCCAGGCUGAGCCGGCCCUCGCUGACCGCCGUCAGCAGCAGGGGCAGCAUGGUUUCCAGGCCCGGGAAGCCAGGGGGUGCGCUGGGCCCACACUUCUCCUCCAAGGUGUAAUGGAGGUCCCGACCCCCUGGGCCAUCUCACCAUGAUCCGAGGCGAAGCAGUCGAUGACGGCCAUGUUCUCCCACAGGGCCUCCAGGUCCUGACGAGAGCCCAGCUCAGGCCGGACUGCCCCCUUCCCGGGCCCCAGGCGCUCCAGGUCCUCUCGGCUCAGGAACAGGUGGUGAGGGGCCACCUCACAGGUCACUGGCAGCCCGCGGGCCUUUGCAGCUUUAAUCAGCAGGAUCUGGGGAGAUGGGGGAAGACCUCAAAAGUGCCCAUCCUUCCCUUCUCCCUUGGCAGACCAGUGGGUCCUGACCCCACGCCCCUCCCCCGGUGCACCCUCACCUCCUCCUUGCGUGCCACGUGACAGAUGUGCACGGAGCGCUGGGUCAGCUGCGCCACCAUGAGGACGGCUGCCACGCUCUGCCGCUCGGCGUGGGCCACAAUGGGGAGGUGGGGCGGCCACGUCUCGAAGUGCUAGGGCAGAAAGAUGUGUAAGGGCGCAGGCAGCCUUUCGCUUGGGAGAGCCCAUGGCCCCCCACCACACGCCUGUCCCACCUCCAUCCACUGGGCCACACUGUCCAGCCGCAGCUCGGAGAAGGUCUCAUUGAGAUAGAGCUUCAGCCCGGCAGCUGCGCCUGCCACGGCGCCUAGGGUCCCUGCGUUCUCAGCCGAGGCCCCGAGGAAUAGGGCGAAGUCACAGCGGGCACCAGCUUCUGCCAGCUGGAGAGGACGCAGGCGGUGAGGCCCACCCACUCCUGCACCACCGGCCCGGGAGGCAAGGGUAGAUGGCAAGGUCUCUGAUGCCAGGAAAUCGGAGCGCCCGGCUCACCUUCUGGGCCAGGGCCAGCGCGGGAGCGUCUGUGAUGGGGGGCCUGGUGUUGGGCAUGGCACACACCAUGGUGACACCCCCGGCCAGGGCAGCAGCGGUGCCUGAGGCGAAGUCCUCCUUGUGUGUACCCCCUGGCUCCCGAAGGUGCACGUGGACAUCCACCAGGCCUGAGGGGACGGGGAAGGAUGAGAGGAUGUGGGCCCAGGGGCACACCAGAUUAGCAACAACUGAUGCCAAGUGAACGGCAGCCGGGUCCCUCAGCCACGGGCAUUCACGCAGGGAACCUCUGGGGCCCCACAGCCGCCUCGGCACGGCGCCAUUUGGCACACUCACCAGGCAGUCGCACAAGCUUCCGGGAGGUCAUGCAGUCCACGUGUACCUUCAGAGGAGGGGCUGGUCCAAUCUGGCCGAGGGCCUGCAAGUGGAAACCAGUCGUGUUGAGGGAUGGGGAGCCUGGGUGUUACAGGGAUUCCUAGCUCCCUACACCCACAAAGCCAGUCUGGCUCUUGGCCCAGCUGCUUCAGACUGCCCGGCUCCAUUACCUCCACAAACAGCUUCGUGCAUUUGAUGUCGAUGAUGAGGGGCACAGAGAAGUCUGCAGCCAGGCGCCGGGUGCGGUAGCCCUUGGUGACGAAGGAAGAGAGCCUCCGGCCUCCAGCCCCGCGCAUCGACAGGUUUAUCACCAGCUCAAAGUGGUUCUCAGCCAGCUGCUCCAAGAUGCUUCGCUGCGGUGGGCACUCCCCAUCCACCGCCUCCUCAAAGUGCCAGUCCACGGCCGUGACCUGCGGGCCCAAGGGCAAGGUCAGUCUGACACAGGUUAGGGAGGCCUGAAGGGAGGGGAGACUGAGGGCCCACUGGAUGGCAACCAGGGGGGCUGCCUCUUAGUGGGCACAGGGUUGAAAACACUGUUGGCAAAAUAAAUUUUUGAGAGGAAAAAUAAUAAAAUUGGCUACCAUGG
Molecule: long non-coding RNA, 2680 nt
Organism: Echinops telfairi (small Madagascar hedgehog)
Lineage: Eukaryota; Metazoa; Chordata; Mammalia; Afrosoricida; Tenrecidae
Exons: 3
Source: RefSeq, a predicted model, not a curated record